UACGAAGGUGGCAAGCGUUGUUCGGAUUUACUGGGCGUAAAGGGAGCGUAGGUGGUUAGGUAAGCCCUCCGGGAAAUCUUCAGGCUUAACCUGAGAAGGUCGGGGGGGACUGCCUGGCUAGAGGACGGGAGAGGAGCGCGGAAUUCCCGGUGUAGCGGUGAAAUGCGUAGAGAUCGGGAGGAAGGCCGGUGGCGAAGGCGGCGCUCUGGAACGUUUCUGACACUGAGGCUCGAAAGCGUGGGGAGCAAACAGG
Molecule: ribosomal RNA, 253 nt
Filed under: uncultured bacterium
Lineage: Bacteria
Description: partial 16S ribosomal RNA
Rfam family: Bacterial small subunit ribosomal RNA
Source: RNAcentral